UACGUAGGUGGCAAGCGUUGUCCGGAUUUAUUGGGUUUAAAGGGUGCGUAGGCGGCCCUGUAAGUCAGUGCUGAAAUAUCCCGGCUUAACCGGGAGGGUGGGAUUGAUACUGAUGGGCUUGAGUGGAGUCGAGGUAGGCGGAAUUGACGGUGUAGCGGUGAAAUGCUUAGAUAUCGUAAGGAAGACCAGUGGCGAAGGCGGAUCUCUGGACAGUUACUGACACUGAGGCACGAAGGCCAGGGGAGCAAACGGG
RNAcentral lists this ribosomal RNA (253 nucleotides) under uncultured bacterium. RNAcentral describes it as "partial 16S ribosomal RNA". It matches the Rfam family "Bacterial small subunit ribosomal RNA", at positions 524 to 776 of the family's 1533-position model. The record is from RNAcentral.